Molecule: long non-coding RNA, 16751 nt
Filed under: Citrus maxima (pomelo)
Lineage: Eukaryota; Viridiplantae; Streptophyta; Magnoliopsida; Sapindales; Rutaceae
Description: long non-coding RNA (CMAX_LNC003943)
Source: RNAcentral
AAUUGAGGAUACACGAUUGUGCAUAUGGAAAUAUAUGUAUUCAGGAAAAUUUCACUCAGAAAUAGAUUUUGCAUUCGCAUCAAUAGGAGGUAAAAUGAACAAAUGAGCAGAGGCCAAGUUGUCAGUCCCAAGCAUGGUCAGUUCUACUAUUCACAAAAUGAGAUUGAUAAAUCAACAAAAUGUAUCAGGUUUUCAAUGUUCAGUUGCACUAUAUGACUCCAAGCUUGACUCGUAUGAGUCUUCUUCCUCCACUGGCCUUCGACAUGCAAAAGGAAAUGGAGGAGGAUCAACUGUCAAUGUGCCCUCUAGUACAUUCGGUACCUCGCCCAUGGAAGGUCUCAUACGUUCAUCAUUUUGAAGACACCAAAAUGCGAUUCUCAGAACACGCUCCAACUUCUCUGGAUCCACCCCAGCAACGAUUCUUUUAUCUAUUAUUGUCUCUGGCCGCCCCUCCAUCCACUCAUUGUAUGCCCAUUCACAAACAUCUUCAACUUCUCGAGACCCGUUUACUAAUAUCAACACCAUCUUGCCAAAAUCUUCUACGUCUUUCCCCGCUGAAGUACCAUAGACUGAUGCAUCACCAUGAAAAAUCCCAAGGCCAAAAUCAGUAACUUUGGCUUCAAAAUUUUCAUCCAAGAGCACAUUUUCACAUUUCAAAUUCCCAUGGCUUACAAAUUCUCUACACCCAGUGUGCAAAUAACAAAGUGCCCUCGCCACACUUGUGCAUAUAUCAACUCUCUUUUUCCAUGUCAGCCUCUUGAAUAGCUUAGAAUCUUCUAUAUAUCUGUCAAUAGAACCAUUUUGGGCAAAUUCAUAGACAAGGUAUCUGUGACUGAACUCACAGCUUGGUCAGGUUUUUGUGAUGAAUGUUCCCUAUCUUUGACACUGCACCACGGAACUUUCUCUGUUCCGUGGUUGUAUCCAGCUCUUUGAUAGCAACUGGCUGGUUGUCAAUGUGCGGUAGCAUGCCUUUGAACAUCUUUGGUCCGAUUGGGUACUUGAAAUUCUCCGAAAACUCCUUAAUUUCACAGAAGGAUAACAUAAUCAAACCCUUUCAGUCGGGCCCUUUGAAAGCUACUGCAGCUUUCCUCCUUAAAAAUUUUCUUUUUCUGUGCAACCAAAAACCAAUCCAUAUGUGAACUACAAUAAACACAACAAAUGCGCCUGAAGCUGCCCCGAUUAGGCAAGGAAUGCAGGGCCGAUAAGAUUGCCUGAGUGGAGAAAUUGGUGCAGAGUUCAUUGGGAAAGUGAAAUCAGCAGCUAACGGGUCAGAAUAUGGACACUACUUGACAAAAGAAGCAGAACCAAUAGAGGGGUCUGAGUAACCACUCACAUAUUGGGUUGUUGUCAUUCGGCAUUCUGCAGCCCUAUUAUUUGUGAAGGUUACAGCCAUACACAGUGAAUCAUGCAGACACAUGUCUUUGCAUCGUUGUAAACUAGAUUGCGAAAUUGAAUCGUUUGCUGGGUACAUUCCAUAGAGUAAUGUGUGCUCGAGUUCAACCCAAGUGGAACUAGAUUUGCACUGAUUCGGAAGCAAACAUUUCGAGUUAGAAGCAGAAUUGUACUUAAAUGGGCACUUGCAGUCUGGGGAUCCAGAUGCAUUGAAUACACAGAUGCCCCGUUCACCACAGGUUGCAAAGACAUUGCACUGAUUUUCAACAGCCUGCCAAACUGAUCUCCAUGACCGUGAAACUUCAACCCACGAAUACAGGCGCAGAUUGCUAUCCAGAUCUAGCCUAAGGAACCGGAACUUCACUGAUUCAUGAUGAUCUUCUCCAGAGACAGACCAGACUUAAGUGAAGAGUAUUGGACAGAUGAAUGAGGAUACACGAUUGUGCAUACGGAAAUAUAUGUAUUCAGAAAAUUUCACUCAGAAAUAGAUUUUGCAUUCGCAUCAAUAGGAGGUAAAAUGAACAAAUGAGCAGAGGCCAAGUUGUCAGUCCCAAGCACGGUCACUUCUACUAUUCACAAAAUGAGAUUGAAAAAUCCACAAAAUGUAUCAGGUUUUCAAUGUUCAGUUUCGCUAUAUGACUCCAAGCUUGACUCGUAUGAGUCUUCUUCCUCCACUGGCCUUCGGCAUGCAAAAGGAAAUGGAGGAGGAUCAACUGUCAAUGUGCCCUCUAGUACAUUCAGUACCUCGCCCAUGGAAGGUCUCAUACGUUCAUCAUUUUGAAGACACCAAAAUGCGAUUCUCAGAACACGCUCCAACUUCUCUGGAUCCACCCCACCAACGAUUCUUUUAUCUGUUAUCUAUUCUUUUAUCUAUUAUGGGAGUUGGGAGUUAUGUAUUGCAAAUGAUGUGUCAAAUCAUCAUUAUCAACUUGACAGAAAAUUAAAUAUAACAAAAGAUUUUUCAUUCAUUGCCAUGAUCGUUGUGUUUAUACUUCGGGGAUGAAUGGACUCAAGUUGUGAAUAAAAUUUGAUUAAUAUAGGGGUUGUUUUGAAGCCACCAAAUUACCUAUUAAAUUUAUUUUUGAAAAUGAAUUUUAAUGAUUAAAAAUACUUCUAAAUUAAAUUAUAAUUAUAGAUACUAAAGUAUAGUUUAAAAAAAAAAAAAACUUUUACUCUUUAAAUCUAUCUUUGCAUUCAACAUAUUUUUAUUAAAUUCUAAUAAAUUAGAAAUAUUUUUAUUAACUGGACAAGUGGGUAACAAAGCUGAUGGUUUAAUCUUUAUGGGCACUUGGUGGUGGGCCACGAUCAGGGACGAGAUGUUGUUGACAGCCAUUAUGUGGGCUUGUCGUACGGACUUGUUCUACAUUUUGUUUCUGAAAGUAAAACUAGUGCAGUGUUGUAGUUCAACAACUGUUCUUUCAAGAUGAAGAAAAGGAAAAACUGAGGAGGCUUGAGCUGUAUCAUUCGUUCAAUAAUUAUGAAUAUUCAAUUAUAUUCUCUGCAAUUUCGUUUUCGGUCAGUUACAAUACAAUUUGUAACCAUAAAUUUAUGACAGCGAUUUCCAUAGCCAAUGUCGUCAGAACAAACAUCAGCUGAUCCGGUAUUAAUCACAAUGACAUUCGACUUCCUUUUAAAAAAUAUAAUGGGUUUAAUAAGUAAAAAUAUUUUUAUUAUAUAAAUUGGGUUUAGUAAGGAUAUAUUGAGUAUUUGGGUGGGUUAAGCAAUUAAAAUUUUAAAUUUUAAAUGUUGAAGAUGAAUUUAUUUAAUAAAUGAAGUUAAUGAGUAGUUUAGUGGGUUCAACCCAUUAUAUAAUUAUAACAAAAAAAAAAUUAAAUUAUUAUUUUAUUUUUGAAUAAAAUAAAAAUAGUUCAUUCGAAUGAAACAAAAUUUUCGUAGCUUUAAAAUAUAUAUAUAUAUAUUUUGUAAAAGGAAAAUAUGUCAAUUUUAAAUUAAAAUAAUUACUAUGGUAUGAUGUUCCCACAACAUCAAUGAUGAGGGAGAUGAAAUAUGGCUCUUUACUCUUCAUGAAAUUUGAGUGAUCUUAAGUAUUUCUUUUGUUAAUUGUUUAAUGUCAAAUUUUCUUUGUGUAGAUAGACCAUUUUGUCUUUAGAGAAACGACUGAAUCUUGAACAAUGCGAGUGAAAUCUAUAAAUUGCUAGGUUUGUUGGACCCAUACAUGUCAGAUGACAAAAUCAAGUGCGGUACCAUGCAUGUUAGGGGAAUAUGUAUACAAUUUUAAUGUGCGAGUGUUAUAUCAUCUAUAUAUCAUGUCAUAUUAGAACAAAUUAAGUGUUGGAUGAGAUGAAUUAGAUGUUCGAUAAAAUAUCUCUGUGAUAAGCCUCAGCUAGAACCUCAAUAUCACCUCCAGCAAGCAUUGACCGGGCAGCAUGUGAUGAUUUGGAAGUGCCAAAAAAUAGAGCUAUUUACACUUCAACACGUGUCUCAUAAAAAUCGGUUAAAUUAAAUAACCAAUAUAUUUUAUUUUGAUCAGGAUUAAAGAUCAAUAUAGAUUGAUUCUAGACGACAAAUCAAUAUAGAUUGAUAACGAAUAUAAAUUAUAUUUAGUCUCAUAUUAAAGGUCAAUCUUAAAGGUCUGGAGAAAUCAAAUAUCAAUCAAUUCAGAAAUGUUCGUAAGUAACGGCACUUGAUUACUAAUAAAACCAAGUACUAUGAACUCUCAAGUACGGGCAAAAACGGUUACCAAAUCUAACAGUCCAAAUCAAACUAAGAAAAAGAAUGGUGAGGAUUCAAAUUUGAAAUACAUUUUCCUACCAAUCUUUCAUCUCUCAAUCUAUAAAUAAGAGCCAAAAAUCAAGAAAUGAUCUUUUGGACAAUUUUUAGAACAAGCUAGAUCAAAACAAUAUAAUAUUUAAAAAAAAAUUAUCAUCCAUCAAACACUCACUUUAUCGUCGAAGUGUCUUUUACAGGCACACGUUCAAGUUCUACCAAAGAAAUUAUACGAAAAAUGUGAAUUAUUUCUAAAAUUUUCAGAGGAUUUAGGAAUGAAUUUUUACUUAUUAUACAUCGAGUUAUCUUGCAUUGAAGGCUAUGAAACCUUCAUGACUCAACGUGUAACUCAGCAUAUUCAAGAAAGCUCUGGAUAGCUCAAUGGAUAAGCAUCAGGAACCAUAUAAGACAAACGCGUAUUAUCCUUUGUAAAGCAUACUGAAUCAUGACCAUUAGAUUAGCGCUAUAGCUGCAAAUGUACUCAUCAUCUUUACUUAAUAAUAAAUUCAAGAUUUAAAUUUAAAAGCUUUUUCCUUAUUCUCAUAUUCGAUCGUGUUUAUAAAUGGACUGGACAGAAGUUAUGCAUCAUAGAUUCACAUGCAGAAUGCCGUGUCGCCAGCUCCUCUUUCUUUUGUAUGCUCUGCUUCUGAUAUGUCAAACUGUGAGGUCUUCUGUUUCUUCAGUUUCACCCCCUAAUUGCAAUGUUCUUCUUAGGAUAAAAAUCUUGCUUCUCUACGAUCUUUGAAUCUUUUAAUUGCCAGGUUUGUGGCAACACUUGAUGAUCUAUCGGAAUAAACCUUUAUUUUUAUUUCCCAAUUGACUACUCUGGGACUGGCCUAACUAGCGUUCACCCCAAUUGCAUUGUCCAAUGAAAAUAGUAGAAUAUAUUGCAAAAGUCUCACAAUUUUAUUUAUGAAAUGAAAAUAUAUUAAAACGUACAAGACAACUCUAUUCAAUCACUGCUUGUUUCAAAGUAAAGGUCUUGCGUCAAUGGAAAAAGCAGCACUAUUGUUUAGAAUUGACGUCCCCAUAGAAACUAAAUUACUUUCUAAAUAAUGUUCACUUAUGUCACCGUUCACACAAUCAAUCACUCCACAAUUCUGCUGCAAAAUGGAAGCCCCAAUUGACGCUCUAAUCCCCCCCAAUUCAAAUGCCACUUCUUUCAUUGUAGGUCUGUUCUUCCCGUUCAAGUUCAAGCAUCUUUUUGCAAGUGUAGCAACAGUCAUGAUCUCUUCUCUCUCAGCUUCCUUAAGAACUAGAGCAUCAAGGACUUCAAACAAACGGUUUUCAUUCAUUGCUUGGAGAAAAUAACCCACUAAACUUCUAUCUUCGUCAAUGUUGAUUGCACGAAUAGGUUUUUGACCAGUUAAAAUCUCAACAAGAACUACACCAAAACUAUAUACAUCACUCUUUUCAGUAAAUUGACUUGACUGAAAAUACUCUGGAUCUACAUAUCCAAAAGUCCCUUGUACUUUUGUGGUCAAAUGAGUUUGAUCAACCGUUAUAGAUCUUGAAGUUCCAAAAUCCGAAACUUUGGCUCGAUAUUUAUCGUCCAAAAGUAUGUUUGCAGACUUGAUGUCUCGAUGAUAAAUAGAAAUAGAAGCAGCUGAAUGCAAAUAGAAAAGAGCACCUGAAACUUCUACAGCAAUGCGUAAAAGCAAUUCCCAUGUAAUUGGAAACUCCUCGAUGUGGUUAUGUAUGUAUUGAUAGAGAGUUCCAUUUGGAACAAAUUCAUAGACUAAAAGAGGAACUUCUGUCUCCAAACAACAUCCCAAUAACUUAACAAUAUUUCUGUGGUUGAUUUGAGAUAAAAUUACCACCUCAUUGAUGAACUGCUCAACAUUAUUCUCAUCUACUAAUUUGGAUUUUUUGACGGCCACAAUUCUACCAUCUGCCAACAUUCCUUUAUACACAGUGCCUUGUCCUCCUUGACCCAAGAUUCGAUUGGCAUUAUAGUUAUCAGUGGCCUUUUCUAAAUCCUUUGAAGUAAACAAUUUUGUUUUCUCAACACUGCUUUUGUUUGAAGACAGUUCUUGUUGCAAUAACAAACCACCAUUUCUUUUAAAGAACUUCUGCUUGGACUUGAUUUCCCUUCUCUUUUUUGUGAACUUGUACAAUCCCCAUAUUCCAAUUAGAAACAAGGGUCCAAGCCCACAACCUGCUCCUCUCCAGGACAAGGAUAAUUAGUUAACUCACCGUCCAGACCAUUCAUCACAUGGAACUAUGUAAUAGAAAAGGUCAUAAUUUAAUGUGUAUAUCAUUUGGGUAUUUUGGUCUUCCUAAGUUAAAUCAUUAAUAACUUACAUUAACUUAAAAUUAGUUGUUAAAUUAAAAAUAGAGUUUAACUUAAAAUAGUUGUUUAAUCAAUAAUAGAGUUCACUGUAAAACUCUUGGGGCAUUUUUGGGACAUUAAUUUUGGGUCAAUAAGUUAUGUAUAACUAAUGUAACAUAGCGCUGUCUUGAUGUUUUAUCUAGAAAUUUAUAUCUUGAUGAUAUAAAUUUGGAUCAUCCUGAGUUUCAAUAAUCGAAAUUUUUGGAAUUUAUUCUGGUUAAACACGGUCCAUUAUUGGGAUCAAAUUUAAAAUACCCAGGUUAUGUCCCGAGUGUGGCAUAGGGAAAAGUCGCCCUGGUCUUGAUCCUGUGAGCCAAAACUCAUACUCCAACCGGGAUUUUCAAAUUCCUAUUGGUACCACCACAUACUACACCUUGACACUACACAGCACAACUCUCAGUAAUGAUAUUCAUAAAAAUUUAGACGUACUUAAAUAUAAAAGAUUUUGUCCACCCUACCAUAAAAUGAAUAAAUAAAUAUUUAAUUACCACCGUAUGGCUUUUGAAUUCUGUAUGAUUUCGACAAACCUAAGAGGUGUGCUAAAAAUACCCUAUUAUUAACACCUGAUUUUUGUUUCGUUUAGUCUAAAAUAUAUUAUUCUUUUAAGACCUUAGGCAAGGUAUAUGAAAAAGGAAACAAUAAAUAAUUUUUUUUUGUUUAAGUAUUUUAUUCUCUUAAAAGCGUCAUCAACCACAGUUGGACUUCCCCAUGACUAUUAGAAAAAAAAAAUUAAUUUAGAGAAUAUUAAGGGGCAGCAAAUUAUGUCAAAAGGUUCUCAAACUGUCAAACAUGCAACAAAAUGUAUUAGAAGGUGCUUUGACUGCUUACCUAGAGCGACCUUAAUCAAAUUUUUUUGAUUGGGUAUACAACCUCCUCCAUCUUUUCUUCCGUCUCCAUGAAACCCCUUGCGGCAGCGACAUGUGUAACUUCCUGGUAUGUUAUCACAUAUGUGCGUGCGCGUGCAGUUAUUGAGGCUUGGGUCUUCGCAUUCAUUAAUAUCUGCCAUUAAAUAAUUGUUUUAAAUAUUAAUUAAUUAAAAAUGAUUUUAAAAAUUCGAAAAUGAACAUCCACACGUGAGUGAGAAUGAUUAAAGAUUUAUUUAUACCUUGGCAACCAUCAGAGAGGUACGGAUUGCCUUCGUAUCCUUUGUUGCAUUUGCAACGAUAGCCGGAAGAAGUACUGGUGUUAUCCUUGGGUGUAUCGCAGGAUGCAUUGAGUCCACAUAUUUUUGCUUCUUCACAUGUUUCACUUGUUGUUAUUUCCCAAUCAAGCACCAUAGGAAACCCCUCUGGUACGCCCCCCUCGGCAAGAUAAUUGGAGGUGAAAUGGAACUGGCUUUGAUCAACAACGAACGCAUAAGUGCAUGGAUUGAAUGAGGACACAUUUGUGUGAUUGUUAAAGCUGUAUGCGUCCACGUCGAGUUGUUUCAGCCCUUUAGGAAUCUCAAUCUGGCAACAUCCAGUGCCGACGCAGGAUCCAUUGGUGACAUAGUCAAGGCUGUCGCACGUGCUUGUGCAGCCGGAUUUGUACCUGUCCUCACCCAAGAAACCACGUACGUAAGCGUAGCUGUCACAGCCAAUGACUACGAACUUGUUUCCCGUUCUAGAGAAGGUGAAUUUGGACAGAGUGAUGUAAGGCAACUUGCUGUCUACCGAAUUUCCCUUAGCAUCGUAGCAGUCUUUUGCGGUGAAUUGCAUGACACUCAAGUGACCGUCGAUGGAUAUGUUGACAACGUCGACAUUUGACUCCCCUAAGAAUGGUUUGGGUGGGUUGAAAUGAGUGUCGUUACAAGUGAUGCGAAAGUCUUCGUUCAGGAAACAACCAGGCUCUGUACCGAAUGGAUACGGGAUCUCGACGUCUCCACAACGAUUGAGGCAGCCAGGCUUGGAUUGAGCAUGAGCAGCAGAGGCAGUACUUGCUCUAGAAGUACAGCAGUGGCAGCUCAUUGCUAGUAGUAGCAGCUGCACUCGCACCACCAGCAUAAUAAGUCGGAAAGGCAUUUUGAGGAAUCCCAUAAUUAUUUCCUAGGUAGCUAGCCAGUUCGCUCUAUAGGAAAGAUCAUUACGAAUUAAUUUGGAUUUUAUAACGAUAAGAGGAGUUCAGCUGCUAUAGUUUACUUUGAAAAUUCUUAAAAUGCGGUAUUAAAUCCUGUUUGGUAUUCAUUAGUUAUAGUUUGAAAGUUAUAAGGCAGGUCAACUCUCAUGAAGAGAGUUAUGGUGAGGUCUUACAGUUCUCUUUAUGAGAGUUAGCCAGGUGACCGUGACUCUUCUGAUUAAAAUUUUAAAAGGUACAAUAUUAAAGUAUUUAAUAAACAUUUACAAACUAUAAAUUAAAAGUUAAUUUAAUUUAAUUUUACAUUUAUAUAAUGAAAAAUAAUAAUUUAUUAAUUAUUUUUGUUAAAUUAUUAUUUAAAAAUUAUAUUCAUUAUAUACUGUUAAUUUUUAUUUUAUAAAUAUAAUUUUUUCCAUAAUAAUUAUAAUUAAAAAAUUCAACAAAAUCCAAUUCCAAUCGGACCCUCCAGAGACCAUCAAAACAUGCCCACCGUCAAACACUCGAACCCAGUAACUGCAUUUGGUCGACUCAUGAAGAAUCAGUCAAUGAAGUCUUCAUCUCUCAAAUGGAUCGAUCAAUUCCUAGUCCGGGGUCCCACAUAAAUUUAUUUAAUUGUUUUGACAAAUUCAAGGAACAAUUUUCUGUUAAGUAAGCGAAAAAAAAUCCAAAUACUGUUCGAAGACAUCUACAUCAACAAAUAUGAUAAAGAAUCUUAAUGGUGACACAAAGGUAAUAAAAUAACCAUAAAAUUGUGCAGCAUUAAUUUUUUACUUAACAUUAUAAUACUUUAUAAUUUUAUAAUUAUUUUAUCACCAUUAUAUCAAAUAUUUCGAUUCGAGUAUCAAUACUUCUGUAUACUUGUUUUAUUCUCCAAAAAAAACUUAUUUCGAGAGUAUUUUAAUUUUUCUUAGGAUUUUGUUUUAUUACUUAUAUAUUUUAAGUAAAUACGAUUCUUAACAUACAAAUUAAUAUUAUAAAAAAAAAAACUUGUUCAAAACUGUUACCCCAUGAGGAUUCCAAAACCAACUUAAAUUUUGCAUGGGGUUUGGCUCAAACAAAGUACUAAGAAUAAUGUUAUUUGCAUAAAAAAUCACACGUAAUCACUAAAAAUUAAAAAAAAAAAUCACCUAGGGUUGCUCAAUCAUUAAAUUUUCGGUUGAUCUGAUUGUUUUGAUUGGUUGAUCACGCUUCAUGAAAGUCGCCGAUAGUUUUAAGACAUCAAACAAGAAUUAAUUUUCUACGGAGAAUUAUUAAUUAUUGAGUAAUAUGAGAUAUAUCAAGAAUGAAACAUUCAUUUUCUUUUCUCGAGAAAACGUAAAUUUAUAUGGAGGGGGACAAUGAUUCAUUUUUCUUUUAUUUUUUUUAUCACUUAGAUCUUUCUAAAAUUUUAAUAACUUAUGUAAUUGCUAACAUUAAAUUGUUAAAGAAAAAAAUGAGUUUUGACAUACAAAUUGAUAUUAGAAAAAUAAUUCAACAUUGUUUUAUAAAUUGAAAUCAAUUAAUCAAAUAUAUAGUAUGUCAUUCGUUUUAGCAACAUUGUCUUUGUUGUAAUUUAUUCUAUUAAUAGGGCGUGAUUACACAAAUGAUUGGGAGAAUGUAGAUUCAAAUUGUGAAUCCUAUUCAACAUAAAAGUCUAUUAUAACAUUUAAUAUAUUGGGAGAAUAUAGAACCACGAUGACUUGUUAAAAUUUAUUAAUUUGAAUCAGUCAAUUUGCUGAGGCAAGAUGUUGGCGUCCACUAUAAAAUAUGAGGUUGUGAUUUUUUUUAAUUAUAAUUUAUAACAUUUAAUAUCUUGUCAAUUCGAUCAUUUAGUUUUUUCUUUAAUGAAAAUAACAUUAUAUAGCUGAAAACAUCAAAUUACAGUUUUGUGUGGAGAUCUAUAAUAUAAAAUCUAUAACUAUAAAGAUCAAAAUGACGGCGUAAAUUAUUGAUAGAUUUCCCAUUCUAAUUUCAUAUUUUUUUUAAUUUAAAUUUUUUGUCAAUUAAAUUAUUUUAUUGGGCAGGGUACAAAUUGAAGUUUAAGAUGUAAAUGUGCAUAAAGAAUCGAAUCCUGAAAGAAAUAAAGAUAAAAUGGAAACAAAUGAAAUUGAUGGGCACGGAUUGGGAAAUUGUGUGGAGAGCGUAAGAAAAUAUGGAAGAUUUGGUGGUCACCGGCUUUGUCAUUCAUGAAGCGUAAGGAAAGCCACCGAGAGGGGUCAAGAAAAAUAAAAGCAAUUAAUGGUUAAAUUACGUUAUUUUGAUGGAAAUGUACGCGAGUGAAUUAGAAUUUAAUGAAGAUUUGUGGCUUAACACGCAUGGCGGCUGACUUCUAACAUAUAUAAAAAAUAAAUAAAAAGCCAUUGGCUUUUGAAAGGGGAAGCGGACCAAAGUUGGGGAACCGCCUUUAGCAGAGCAGAAGCCACGGCUUGGAGAAGAGCCAGCCGUUCGAUUAAUUCUCAUGAUUGGUUUUAUCUUUUGUUUUUUACUCUUAGUAACUAAACUUCUGUCCUAGAGUCGAGGAUCGCACCUUAUUGAAUGAGAUAAAUUAAUUUCUAUUCAAUUAAUUCCUUAUACGUGUGCUUUUAAUGUUUUAUGAUUUUUGUUUCAUAUGUUUAGUUGAAUAUUAUUAAAUAUUUUUAUUGAUUCGAUUAUGUAAUAUUAAUUGUUAGGAUUAAUAUUUAAUUGAAUUUAUAUUUGGAUCCAUGAAGUUUGUAUAUGAUUAUUUUUCGAUUCUAUAUCUUUUAUUAAAUUGUUUACAAAGAGUACUUAAAAAAAUUUUGACUCUUUGUUAUUUAAUAUUUUUUAUAUGGGAUGGUUAGAUAAUGUAUUAUUAAACAGAAAAAGAAUCUAUAUAAGAUUAAUUUUAAUUGGACUCAAUUGUUAUGUUUAUGAGUGGACUUAAAUUGAUAUCUAGCUAUCAUUCUAAAAUUAGGAAUUGAUUGGUAAUUAGAUAAUUGAUAAGUUAAAUUAUAGUGGAUUUUGAAACCUCAAUAGCUUCAAUCUCUUGAGUUCUUGCAUUACUUUACUCAUUUUAAAUUUACUUGCGUCAGAGUUUUAAUUUUCUCAAAUAAAAUAUUUUCUUUUUAGUUAGGAUAGAGUUCAAAUUAACUUAAAUUAGAUUUUAUUUUUGUAAAAUUGACAAUCUCUGUAUAUUCAACCUCAUUAUUUAUAGUCUAUACAUCAACAGACUCGUGCGUUUACAAGUACAAUAAAAUUUAGACAAACAUAAAACGUAAAACUUUUCUAAAUUAAAUGGCUAAAUUUCAGUUGGGACUAAUUAUUUUGUCUUGAGGUUUCUCAAAUCAUAUGACAUCUAAAGUGUGCCUCCAAUGGAAUUGGCUUCGGUCAUCAGCAUAACAUUUAAUGCUUGGAUUGAAAAAUGAUACAUUGAUGAUUGAUUAAUAACAAACUCAAUGCCUUUUUUUUAAAAAAAAAAAGGUAAAAUAAACCACAAACUCAAGAAUUAAAUGCAUUAAUUUGGACUGAUUUGAACGAUAGGCACACAACACUCCACACGUUAACAAAAUGGAAACUUAUCAUUUAUGUACCGAUUUUCACAAUUUUAUUGAAUCAAAUUGAUUCUCACGCUUAUCCAAUGGGCUCCCAUGCACCCCAUAGCUAGUUUCAUCUUUUAUCAAUUAUGGAUUGGUAAUUAAAUAAUUGGUCAUCCAUGUUUUGCCAUGUAUCAACCUUGGGUGGUUGUUAAGACUCAACUCCCCUCUUAUAUAGGAGUUUACUUGUCUCUCUGUAUUUGAGAUAGAAUAUAUCUCUCUCCAAUAUUAAUGUAAGGGUAGGUUUUACUCUAAAACUAAAUGAGGGUUGACUUUCAGGUUGUGCCAUAAUAAGAUUAUUAAAGAGGGUUCUGACCGAUUUUUGAUUGUGUAUAUCAGUCUCUGAUUGUAAUAUAUUAGUAUAUCAAAAAAAAAUAUUAAUUCUCAUGUUCAGGCUAUUGUAUAUAAAUGGUAGCAUUUUGUUAUAUUCCAAUUAUUUUCUUUCUUUUUAUUUUGGAAAAUUCUGAAAAGAUUUUUUUUCAAGUUGCCCUUAAGAUGUAAAAAAAAUUAUUAGGAAUCUAAACUCCGGCGAAAUCAUGAGAAAAAUACACUAAAACAAAAAAUUAAACUCCCCCAAAACGACAUUAUAUUACAUUACGUGUAUUUUUAUCAAAAUUUCAUCAAGAUUUAAUUCUCAUAUCAAUUCUCUUGGUCUAUUUGCUUGACCGUUGACCUCAAGUCAGCAAUUGUGUCUACACGUAGCCUCGUCUGUCCACAGAAUUGAAGGUUCAUUUGAUUUUUCGGAUUUGAUCAUCACGUUGAAACUCAGUGCAUGGCUUAGAGUUCAUGCUUGGUUUAAAAAAUGAUGCAUUGAUGAUUGAUCAAUAAAAAAAUCAAUACUUAUUUUAAAAAAGGUAAAACAAACAAUAAACUCAAAAAUUAAAUGCAUUAAUUUGGACUGAUUUGGACAAUAGGCACGCAACAUUCCACACGUUAAUAAAAUGGAAUCUUAUCAUCUAUGUACCGAUUUUCACAAUUUUAUUGUAUAAUUUGAUUCUCAUGUUUUGCCAAUGGGCUUGUAACUCAUUGGCAAUCUAUGCCCCCAAUAAUUAAUUUUAUCUUUUGUCAAUUAUGGAUUGGUAGUUAGAUAAUUGGUAAUUCAUGUUUUACCAUGUAUAAACCUUAGGCACAUCGUUGUUAUGACUCAACUUCCUUUUUAUGUAGAGGUUUAUCUGUCUCUCCGCAUUUGAAAUAGAAUAGAUCUCUCUCCAGUAUUAAAGUAAGGAUAGAUUUUCCUCUAGUACUAAGUGAGGGUUGACCUUCAGGUUAUACCAUAAUAAGAUUAUUAAGGAGAGUCCCGACCGAUCUCUAAUUGUACAUAUUAGUUGAGCUCUGAUUAUAAUAUAUCAGUAUAUCGAAAAAAAAAUUAAUUCUCAUGUUCAGGCUAUUGUAUAUAAAUAGUAGCAUUUUGUUAUAUUCCAAUUAUUUUCUUUCUUUUUAUUUUGGGAAAUUCUAAAAAGAAUUUUUUCAAAUUGCCCUUAAGAUGUAAGAAAAAUUAUUAGGAAUCUAAAGUCCGACAAAAUCAUGAGAAAAAUACACUAAAACAAAAAUUUAAACUUCCCAAAACAACAUUAUAUUACAUUACGUGUAUUUUUAUCAAAAUUUCAUUAGGAUUUAAUUCUCAUAUCAAUUCUCUCGGUCUAUUUGCUUGACCGUUGACCUCAAGUCAGCAAUCGUGUCUACACGUAGCUCCUGUCCACAAAAUUGAAGGUUCAUUUGAUUCUUCUGAUUUGAUCAUCACGUUGAAACUCAGUGCAUGGCUCAGAGUUCAUGCACAGUUAAAAAAAAAAUUGGUUAAAUUCUUGAAGUUGAUUUUAUGUUCUAACAAUAAAGAGAGUGAAAAGAUAAUCAGGGACAAGAAAUGAGGAUCAAUUUUCUCCAUACAAUUAUUAGUUGUCGACAUGGGCCAAUUGAGGAUUUUUCUCUGUAGAUUCGAUCUCAUUAUUCAUAGUCUAUACUUUAACAGGCUUGUGCACUUACAAAUAUGAAAUGUAAAACUUUUCUAAAUUAAAUGGCUAAAUUUCAAUUGGGAAUAAUUAUUUUCGACUUGAGGUUUAUCAAAUCAUAUAACCUCUAAGUGUCGCUCCAAUGGAACUGGCUUCGGUGAUCAACAAAUGCGUUUAAUGCUUGGGUUUGAAAAUGAUACAUUGAUGACUGAUCAAUAACGAACUCAAUACUUAUUUUAAAAAAGGUAAAACAAACAAUAAACUCAAAAAUUAAAUGCAUUAAUUUGGACUGAUUUGGACAAUAGGCACACAACAUUCCACACGUUAACAAAAUGAAAUCUUAUCAUCUAUGUACCGAUUUUCACAAUUUUAUUGUAUUAUAAGUUGAUUCUCAUGUUUUGCCAAUGGGCUUGUAACCUAUUGGCAAUCUAUGCGCCCAAAAACUAAUUUUAUUUUUUGUCAAUUAUGGAUUGGUAGUUAGAUAAUUGGUAAUUCAUGGUUUACCAUUUAUUAACCUUAGGCACAUAGUUGUUAGGACUCAACUUCCUUCUUAUGUAGAGGUUUACUUGUCUCUCCCCAUUUGAAAUAGAAUGGUUCUCUCUCCAGUAUUAAAGUAAUGAUAGAUUUGUCUCUAGUACUAAGUGAGGGUAGACCUUCAGGUUAUACCAUAAUAGGAUUAUUAAGGAGAGUCUCAAUCGAUCUCUGAUUGUACAUAUCAGUUGAGCUCUGAUUGUAAUAUAUUAGUAUAUCAAAAAAAAAUUAAUUCUCAUGUUCAGGUUAUUGUAUAUAAAUGGUAGCAUUUUGUUAUAUUCUAAUUAUUUUCUUUCUUUUUAUUUUGGGAAAUUCUGAAAAGAAUUUUUUCAAAUUGCCCUUAAGAUGUAAAAAAAAUUAUUAGGAAUCUAAACUCCGGCAAAAUCAUGAGAAAAAUACACUAAAACAAAAAAUUAAACUCCCCCAAAACAACAUUAUAUUACAUUACGUGUAUUUUUAUCAAAAUUUCAUCAAGAUUUAAUUCUCAUAGCAAUUCUCUUGGUCUAUUUGCUUGACCGUUGACCUCAAGUCAACAAUCAUGUCUACACGUAGCUCUGUCUGUCCACAGAAUUGAAGGUUCAUUUGAUUCUUUUGAUUUGAUCAUCACGUUGAAACUCAGUGCAUGGCUCAGAGUUCAUGCACAGUUUAAAAAAAAAAAUUGGCUGAAUUCUUGAAGUUGAUUUUAUGUUCUAAUGAUAAAGAAAGUGAAAAGAUAAUCGGGGACAAGAAAUGAGGAUCAAUUUUCUCCGUAGAAUUAUUAGUUGCCGACGGGGGCCAAGUGAGGAUUUUUCUUUUUAAAGGUUGGGCUAAAGAAAUUUCACUUUACUAUAACUAUUUAUUUUAAAGGCCUAAUUACUACAAUAUUUAACUAAUUAAAUUUCAAAUAACGUUUCAUUAAUAGGUAAGAAAAAGAAUAUGCACUUAAUCUAGGAAGGAUACAUAUAAUAUACAUUACCCAACAAUAUUCAAUUUUUAUUAUACAAAUACAAAUACAAAACAAAAUUAAGUACUAUCGAAAUUACGCCUGACAUUACUCUAAAAUGUAAAACUGAUGGGUCUUGAUGCGACUUCACAAAAUAUUACAAGAAGUUAAAUAUUUUGUGAAUUUAACUUCUUGAAUCAGAAAAGUAAUAAACUAAAAAUAAAUAGAUUUAAAAUGAGUAGUAAAUUCUUUGCCCUCACAAAUUUGUGUCCAUGAGAGAAAUGAAGAGAAAAUUGGAGAUGAAGAAAUUAUAGGAAAGGGAUGAAAAUUAAAUUAUAAAAUUAGAAGAACAACCCUCUAAUAAAUUAUGUGGCAAUUUUGUAAUAACUGGAAAAAAAUAGUAAUUGUGUAAGUAGCUAUAACUUGAAAAAACGACAGGUCAGUUGAUUGUGAAAAUAAUUCCAACUUGUGACAUAUAAUUUAAAAUUUUAACAAGUCAGACAGGUAACAAUUAAAAAUAGAGCAUCAUAACACAGAUUUUAUAGAAAAUAAAUGUAUAAUAUAAUAAGGUCCUUUUGCAUAAUUUUUGGAGUUAAGACAGACAUUUCACUCGGUAUAUCUUGAUAUUCAUUGGAGGUCAUUAUUCAUUUUGUAUGCCUGGCCGUAGUCCUAUUGCUACUUCAUAGUGUUCCCACAAGCUACAAUAGAUAUUGCCGAAACUUUUUUUUUUUUUUUUUUUACAAAAGGAAAUCAACAACAAUAAGCUAAAAAUUAAAGUAGUAUGGUAAAUCGCAAAACUUUUUAAUUCAAACCUAUGAUACUUGAGGUUGCUGCUUCAAUAUCUGUAGUUCUAAGUUUGGCAUCACAAAUAGCUGUCACAGCUUCACUGUCAAGUGCAGUCAAAACUUCACUAAUGCAUACGCAUAGCGAAAAAAGGCUGGAAAUGAUGGCCAAAACUUAAGUGAAGAGUAUUGGACAGAUGAAUUGAGGAUACACGAUUGUGCAUAUGGAAAUAUAUGUAUUCAGGAAAAUUUCACUCAGAAAUAGAUUUUGCAUUCGCAUCAAUAGGAGGUAAAAUGAACAAAUGAGCAGAGGCCAAGUUGUCAGUCCCAAGCAUGGUCAGUUCUACUAUUCACAAAAUGAGAUUGAAAAAUCAACAAAAUGUAUCAGGUUUUCAAUGUUCAGUUGCACUAUAUGACUCCAAGCUUGACUCGUAUGAGUCUUCUUCCUCCACUGGCCUUCGGCAUGCAAAAGGAAAUGGAGGAGGAUCAACUGUCAAUGUGCCCUCUAGUACAUUCAGUACCUCACCCAUGGAAGGU